GUCAUGCAGAUGAGGAGACACGAGUUUAUAUGUAAUUUGCAUGUGGGGCAUUUUCGUGAUGUCAUACUCCAUUUCACCUUGGACAUCAGAUUCACCCC
Small nucleolar RNA from Lolium rigidum, 98 nucleotides. Lineage: Eukaryota; Viridiplantae; Streptophyta; Magnoliopsida; Poales; Poaceae. The record is from RefSeq and is a predicted model, not a curated record.